Molecule: long non-coding RNA, 278 nt
Organism: Rhipicephalus sanguineus (brown dog tick)
Lineage: Eukaryota; Metazoa; Arthropoda; Arachnida; Ixodida; Ixodidae
Exons: 3
Source: RefSeq, a predicted model, not a curated record
GAAGAGAGCAGCUCUCUUGAUCUUCAAGAAGCUUCGGGCAUCGAACGUACUGAACCGACUCGUGGAAGAUAGCGCUCGGAAACAAAUUCAAGAAUGCAAGGAGGCAUAUGACAGGAGAUGAGCGCCUAAAGGAGAAUAGACAGAAGUUUGCCACAAAGAAGACAUCCACAAGGGAAUUGGAUGACAAACUCCGAAGGAACAAGAAGGCGAAGAUGGGAGGGAGCGUUCCAAUAACACCCUGUAUUUUGUACGAUGGGGCUGAUCUUCCAUAUGCAAGG